Molecule: ribosomal RNA, 647 nt
Filed under: Lachancea fermentati
Lineage: Eukaryota; Fungi; Ascomycota; Saccharomycetes; Saccharomycetales; Saccharomycetaceae
Description: LSU rRNA
Rfam family: Eukaryotic large subunit ribosomal RNA
Source: RNAcentral
UACAGACAACCUGGCGAACAGUAUUCACUAAGUUUGACCUCAAAUCAGGUAGGAUUACCCGCUGAACUUAAGCAUAUCAAUAAGCGGAGGAAAAGAAACCAACCGGGAUUGCCUUAGUAACGGCGAGUGAAGCGGCAAAAGCUCAAAUUUGAAAUCUGGCACCUUCGGUGUCCGAGUUGUAAUUUGAAGAAGCAACUUUGGUGCUGGUCCUUGUCUAUGUUCCUUGGAACAGGACGUCAUAGAGGGUGAGAAUCCCGUGUGGCGAGGAUCCCAGUGCUAUGUAAAGUGCUUUCGACGAGUCGAGUUGUUUGGGAAUGCAGCUCUAAGUGGGUGGUAAAUUCCAUCUAAAGCUAAAUAUUGGCGAGAGACCGAUAGCGAACAAGUACAGUGAUGGAAAGAUGAAAAGAACUUUGAAAAGAGAGUGAAAAAGUACGUGAAAUUGUUGAAAGGGAAGGGCAUUUGAUCAGACAUGGUGUUUUGCGACCCUCGCUCCUUGUGGGUGGGGAUCUCGCAGCUCACUGGGCCAACAUCGGUUUUGGCGGCAGGAUAAAACUUUGGGAAUGUAGCUUGUCUUCGGAGAAGUAUUAUAGCCCAAGGCAAUACUGCCAGCCGGGACCGAGGACUGCGACUUGUCAAGGGAUGUGGCC